RNAcentral lists this unclassified non-coding RNA (339 nucleotides) under uncultured Mortierella. RNAcentral's name for it is "sequence contains ITS2". The stretch from base 1 to 52 matches the Rfam family "5.8S ribosomal RNA", at positions 103 to 154 of the family's 154-position model. Lineage: Eukaryota; Fungi; Mortierellomycota; Mortierellomycetes; Mortierellales; Mortierellaceae. The record is from RNAcentral.
AACGCAUAUUGCGCUCUCUGGUAUUCCGGAGAGCAUGCUUGUUUGAGUAUCAGUAAACACCUCAAAUCCACUCUUCUUUUGAAAUGAGUGAGUUUGGACUUGAGCAAUCCCAACGCUUCUCAAGAGCGGCGGGUUGCUUGAAAUGCAGGUGCAGCUGGACUUUUCUCUGAGCUAAAAGCAUAUCUAUUUAGUCCGCCUAAAAACCGGAUUAUUACUUUUGCUGCAGCUAACAUAAAGGAGAAUCGUUCUUAUGCUGACUGAUGCAGGAUUAACAAAGAACGCUUCGGCAACCUUUGUAAACUCGAUCUCAAAUCAAGUAAGACUACCCGCUGAACUUAA